RNAcentral lists this long non-coding RNA (362 nucleotides) under Malus domestica (apple). Its description in RNAcentral is "long non-coding RNA (MDOM_LNC002798)". Lineage: Eukaryota; Viridiplantae; Streptophyta; Magnoliopsida; Rosales; Rosaceae. The record is from RNAcentral.
UCUCCAAAUAAGACAUCUCUAACAAUAAGAUCAAUAAAAGCUUCAUUCGAUCCAUAUCUAUCCAAACAAAAAAAAAAACAAUAAACAAAUUAACUAAAUCAUUAACCCGAGGCAACAAAUAUACAGGUGGCGUUGUAAAAAAAAAGUUUUCAUUAACCCGAGGCAACAAAUAUAAGGUGGCGUUGAAAAAAAAAAGUUUUCAUUAACCCGAGGCAACAAAUAUACAGGUGGCGUUGAAAAAAAAAAACUUUUCAUUAACCCGAGGCAACAAAUAUACAGGUGGCGUUGAAAAAAAAAAAGUUUUCAUUAACCCGAGGCAUCAUAUUCAAAAUGUUCUACUCUUAUACAUCUAUAAACAUGUG